UACAUUUUAAUAUAUGAUGUAUAUAAAUUUUUGAUAUUUAUAGAGAUAGUUUAAUUCUAUCAAAUGUAA
RNAcentral lists this transfer RNA (69 nucleotides) under Staphylinoidea sp. 13 KM-2017. Its description in RNAcentral is "tRNA-Gln". Lineage: Eukaryota; Metazoa; Arthropoda; Insecta; Coleoptera. The record is from RNAcentral.